AUUGAACGCUGGCGGAAUGCUUUACACAUGCAAGUCGAGCGGCAGCGCGGGGCAACCUGGCGGCGAGCGGCGAACGGGUGAGUAACAUAUCGGAACGUGCCCAUUGGUGGGGGAUAACACAUCGAAAGAUGUGCUAAUACCGCAUAAGACCUGAGGGUGAAAGGGGGGGAUCGCAAGACCUCUCGCCGUUGGAGCGGCCGAUAUCGGAUUAGCUAGUUGGUGGGGUAAAGGCUCACCAAGGCGACGAUCCGUAGCUGGUCUGAGAGGAUGAUCAGCCACACUGGAACUGAGACACGGUCCAGACUCCUACGGGAGGCAGCAGUGGGGAAUUUUGGACAAUGGGGGCAACCCUGAUCCAGCCAUUCCGCGUGAGUGAAGAAGGCCUUCGGGUUGUAAAGCUCUUUCGGCAGGAACGAAACGGUUUGGGCUAAUACCCUGAGCUAAUGACGGUACCUGAAGAAGAAGCACCGGCUAACUCCGUGCCAGCCGCCGCCGUAA
This 498-nucleotide ribosomal RNA is filed under the name uncultured bacterium. RNAcentral's name for it is "partial 16S ribosomal RNA". It matches the Rfam family "Bacterial small subunit ribosomal RNA", at positions 30 to 523 of the family's 1533-position model. The record is from RNAcentral.